UCCCUGGUGGUCCAGUGGUUGGGACUCUGCACUUUCACUGCUGAGGGGUGGGUUUGAUCCCUGAUCAGGGAA
RNAcentral lists this transfer RNA (72 nucleotides) under Capra hircus (goat). It matches the Rfam family "tRNA". Rfam says of the family: Transfer RNA (tRNA) molecules are approximately 80 nucleotides in length. Their secondary structure includes four short double-helical elements and three loops (D, anti-codon, and T loops). RNAcentral also lists the same sequence under 1 other name. Lineage: Eukaryota; Metazoa; Chordata; Mammalia; Artiodactyla; Bovidae. The record is from Rfam by way of RNAcentral.